This 75-nucleotide transfer RNA is filed under the name Oscillospiraceae bacterium. Its description in RNAcentral is "tRNA-Gln". It matches the Rfam family "tRNA". Rfam says of the family: Transfer RNA (tRNA) molecules are approximately 80 nucleotides in length. Lineage: Bacteria; Bacillati; Bacillota; Clostridia; Eubacteriales; Oscillospiraceae. The record is from RNAcentral.
UGGGGUGUCGCCAAGCGGUAAGGCACCGGACUUUGACUCCGUUAUCCGCUGGUUCGAAUCCAGCCAUCCCAGCCA